UGGUGGGUUGCCUUGUCAGGUUGAUUCCGGUAACGAACGAGACCUCAGCCUGCUAAAUAGUCACUGCUACUUUUGUAGCUGGCAGACUUCUUAGAGGGACUACAUGCGUUUAGCAUGUGGAAGUGUGAGGCAAUAACA
Molecule: ribosomal RNA, 138 nt
Filed under: uncultured eukaryote
Lineage: Eukaryota
Description: partial 18S ribosomal RNA
Rfam family: Eukaryotic small subunit ribosomal RNA
Source: RNAcentral